Molecule: ribosomal RNA, 371 nt
Filed under: uncultured organism
Description: bacterial SSU rRNA
Rfam family: Bacterial small subunit ribosomal RNA
Source: RNAcentral
CAGAGGUCCCAAGCGUUGUUCGGAUUCACUGGGCGUAAAGGGUGCGUAGGUGGUGAGGUAAGUCGGAUGUGAAAUCUCCGAGCUCAACUCGGAAAUGGCAUUGGAAACUACCUUGCUCGAGGGUUGGAGGGGGACUGGAAUGCUUGGUGUAGCAGUGAAAUGCGUAGAUAUCAAGCGGAACACCAGUGGCGAAGGCGAGUCCCUGGACAACUCCUGACACUGAGGCACGAAAGCUAGGGGAGCAAACAGGAUUAGAUACCCUGGUAGUCCUAGCCGUAAACGGUGCAUGUUUGCUGUAAAAGGAAUCGACCCCUUUUGUGGCGUAGCCAACGCGUUAAACAUGCCGCCUGGGAAGUACGGUCGCAAGAUUA